AUCCUACCCUCUCCUUCCCCCUUCCUUAUUCCCUCGCGCGAUCCCUCUCUGGAGCGCCCUCCGUCCCUCGCCAUCUCCUGUCGGCCGCCACCGCACACCGCCUGCCCCUUGAGUAGUCCAGUCGCCACUACCCUUCUAUCGCCUUCUCCGUGAGUCUCAACAUCUGUAUCCACUUAGCCACUCGUAUCGUCCCUUUUCCGGAACAAUCAAGAAGCCGAAUCCCUCUCUUAUAGAUGGAAGUUCGAGUCUCUGCCAUUGCAUCAACAUCGACUAGAAGUCUUUUUCUGCGCUGUUCUUGUGAAAACUCUCCUUUUAUGUUCUCCAGCGGCCCCUGUUGCCUGAUUACAUCGUCGAUUGGCUGGGAGGUGUUCUUCUUCCACCUUCAGCGGUCUGUUCGUGGUUGUUUCUAAAAAUUGCUGCAAAUAAGUAGGUUUACCUUCUCUUUUACUCGAAUUGGGUGGAAGUAUUGAAGAAGCGAGCGGUAGGAUAGGGAGGGAGUGUUGAUAUUACAGGUUGUGUGUGGUAGCACUGCAGGAGAAUUACGAUAAUCUAUUCGAUAACUAGUAAAAUUUUAGCUGUUUUAAGCGAUACUUUUGGAGUGAAUAUAUUUAAGCUAAUGUUGUGUUACUCUGUUUGAUUCUUGUGGGAUAUUGAGUUUAGGGAUAGGCGAUAUAAGAGGUAGGUUGUAUAUUUAACCCACAUUUAAAACUCUGUGGUUUAGUAGUUUUUAAGCUUAAAAGGUGGAUGGUGUGGUGGAGCUAGGAGAUAAAGGCUGACAUUCGGCAUUGCAAGGGUAAUGUGGGUUUUUAGUAUAAUGUUUGUCAAUUGGGAGUUGAGAAUAAUUUUAUUUCUUAUGGGAGUUAACUUGUCUGGAGUUAGAGACUGAGAGUUAGAGUUCAAUGUACCAAUUCAUACGAGGAAUCUUGAUACCAUCUUUGCCUGUUUUUCUUGUAUUACUCAACAUUGUUCUUCUGGAUUCUAGUUUUUUUGGUAGACAUAUGUGUUAUGCUAGACUUUUUGUAUAUCUUAUCCAUGCUAAUAAUUUAUGAUAUGUGCUAAAUGAUAGUUAUAGCUCAAGAGUAUUUAUCAGAUUUAAUUUUUAUCUUAAGCAUUUUUUUUUCACUUUAGGAUUGAGUUUGAUGCAUGGAUUCACACUUGGUGUGAGACUGCAAUACUAUGGUUGUUAGUCCACGUCACUCGUCGACAAAAAAUUGGCUUACAUACUGCAACCUCAACUCCGACUUCAGCCAGUCGGUCCACAACCAGCUUCAUCGAGGUUUCACCUACGAAAAUGUGGAAUCUUUCUUGGAUAUCAUUCAAUAAUGUGCAGAAAUCUAGGAGACAUUCCUAUGCGAUUCCCUUAACCAUCUUCUCUAUGUAGAACGACUCUUGCUUUAUGCGAGGAUUUUACACCUUCAAUUCACAUGAGAGUGGAGGUUUAAUUCCACCAUGAGUUGUUAAGAAACAAGUCUUCUUUCGCCAGAUUGUGCUUUAGGUAUUUUUCUCUUUUUUUGGGUGGGGGUGGGGGCACUUAUCGUCAACUUCUUUAGAUAUUGUUCUGAUUUUAUUUUUUUGGUAUUUUAAUCUUCUGCAUUAUAUUUUUUUGUCAUUGUCUUAUAUUUUAUUCAAUCGCAUGAUAUAGUUGCUCAGCAUAAGAUGACCGUGUAGAUCAUACUGUUGGAAUAACUUGGAUACUUGUUGUGUGUAUCCUAAUGUUAACUCAGUCGACACUCAUGCUAUAACAUCAAUAUGAUGGAGGUAAGUCAUGCCUUAUGAUGUA
Zingiber officinale is the source of this 1780-nucleotide RNA transcript. RefSeq lists it as uncharacterized. NCBI's taxonomy places the organism in Eukaryota, Viridiplantae, Streptophyta, Magnoliopsida, Zingiberales, Zingiberaceae. The transcript is spliced from 3 exons. The record is from RefSeq and is a predicted model, not a curated record.